CCUACGGGCGGCAGCAGUGAGGAAUAUUGGUCAAUGGGCGCGAGCCUGAACCAGCCAAGUCGCGUGAGGGAGGACGGCCCUACGGGUUGUAAACCUCUUUUGCCGGGGAGCAACGGGCGUCACGUGUGGCGCCACUGAGAGUACCCGGAGAAAAAGCAUCGGCUAACUCCGUGCCAGCAGCCGCGGUAAUACGGAGGAUGCGAGCGGUAUCCGGCUUGAUUGGGUUUAAAGGGUGCGUAGGCGGAUCGUUAAGUCAGUGGUCAAAUUGAGGGGCUCAACCCCUUCCCGCCAUUGAAACUGGCGCUCUUGAGUGGAAGAGAAGUAUGCGGAAUGCGUGGUGUAGCGGUGAAAUGCAUAGAGAUCACGCAGAACCCCGAUUGCGAAGGCAGCAUGCCGGCUUCCGACUGACGCUGAAGCACGAAAGCGUGGGGAUCGAACAGGAUUAGAUACCCCGGUAGUC
This 460-nucleotide ribosomal RNA is filed under the name uncultured bacterium. RNAcentral's name for it is "partial 16S ribosomal RNA". It matches the Rfam family "Bacterial small subunit ribosomal RNA", at positions 338 to 795 of the family's 1533-position model. The record is from RNAcentral.